This 264-nucleotide long non-coding RNA is filed under the name Phoenix dactylifera (date palm). RNAcentral describes it as "long non-coding RNA (PDAC_LNC015798)". Lineage: Eukaryota; Viridiplantae; Streptophyta; Magnoliopsida; Arecales; Arecaceae. The record is from RNAcentral.
AUGGACUUAAUAUUGCAUAAUCAAGUCUUAGUGUUUGCAACUUGAGUUCUUCAUAAGAGGUAAUCGAACAAUUGGCCAGGUAAGCAGGUGGGAGGCUCCCCUUACUCAGAGAGUAAGGUCCUAAUUAAGUAACCACCUUAUAGGCUUGCCUAGACACCAAUUAGAUCAAUUAAUCAAAUAUGACUAACUCAUGUCGGUUCACCCUCGACUGAUUAGGGAGGUUUCGAUUUAGGUCUCACUCGAUCGCGUAUUCACAUCUCAUGC